This 253-nucleotide ribosomal RNA is filed under the name uncultured bacterium. RNAcentral's name for it is "partial 16S ribosomal RNA". It matches the Rfam family "Bacterial small subunit ribosomal RNA", at positions 524 to 776 of the family's 1533-position model. The record is from RNAcentral.
GACAGAGGUCCCAAGCGUUAGGCGGAAUCACUGGGCUUAAAGCGUGUGUAGGCGGAUUUGUAAGUACCUUGUGAAAUCCCACGGCUUAACCGUGGAACUGCUUGGUAUACUGCUUAUCUUGGGCCACUUAGGGGUUACCGGAACAAACGGUGGAGCGGUGAAAUGCGUAGAUAUCGUUUGGAACGCCAAUGGUGAAAACAGGUAACUGGGAGUGUGCCGACGCUGAGACACGAAAGCGUGGGUAGCAAACAGG